ACAGCGAUUCCCUCUCUUAUUGGCUAUUCGGCCCAAUCAGCGUUAUGAUUGGUUUUAGGGCUCGCAGCGGACCGGGAGAUUGGCCAAUCAGUGCUCCGCACAGUUGCCCACGUGACCAGAGGAGAGUGACACCAACAGUCUAGCAGAUCAGAACCUGGGCCACGAUCACUGCUCGGAGGAUCGAGCCUGCAGCACUCCCUGACCUGAGUUACCUACACCACUUAUUAAAUAUGAUAAGAGGCAAAUAUAAGAGAGGGAAGGGAAGUGCAGGUGGGGCUUGUGUCUUGAUACUGCUGAAGGAAUUUUUCAUCCAAGGAAUUAGAGCUACACUCCCCUUGGGUCAAAGGUGACCGCCUCUUAUUCCCCAGACGCUGUAUAGCCCCUUAUUGGUUUAGUGCUUCCUUAUGAAUGUAAUAAUUGAGUUGCUUUCCUCUUCCCCGGAUCAAACCCGUUUACCUCUAUAUCCACAAACACUGUUGCCAAUAUCAGCUUAGUGUUUACCCAUGAAUAUAUUAAAAUUAACAUGUAAUAAUAAUUAUGUAAUAAUCAUAACAAAAUGAUAAUAUGUAAUAAUAAUCAACAUGUAAUAAUCAUAAUAAUCAUGUAAUAAUCAUAAUAACAUGUAAUAAUCAUAAUAAUCAUGUAAUAAUCAUAAUCAAUGUAACUAUAAUAAUCAAGGUGACUAAUAAUCAGUAUGACAAUGACCCCUCAAGGGAAGUUCCUUUGUGCUGGUGAAGGGGCUCUUGAUUCAGGGAACUGGAUCUGUCUUCCAAUUCAUUGAAUCAGGUCUGAAUAUCUUCCAUGUUCCAAAAUGCUGCAUGACCUCUGCGGAUCUAGCGCUCUCAUGAAUGCAAUAAUAAUAUGUAGGCGUUGAUAAAAUGGGAGAUAAGAAUGUGAAAGAAAUGUGUAGACAGUAUUACUGAUGUGAAGGCAGUGUAGACAAUAUUACUGAUGUGAAGGCAGUGUAGACAAUA
Cherax quadricarinatus is the source of this 974-nucleotide long non-coding RNA. RefSeq lists it as uncharacterized. The record is from RefSeq and is a predicted model, not a curated record. Lineage: Eukaryota; Metazoa; Arthropoda; Malacostraca; Decapoda; Parastacidae.